This 1267-nucleotide ribosomal RNA is filed under the name Rathayibacter caricis. RNAcentral's name for it is "bacterial SSU rRNA". It matches the Rfam family "Bacterial small subunit ribosomal RNA", at positions 56 to 1333 of the family's 1533-position model. Lineage: Bacteria; Bacillati; Actinomycetota; Actinomycetes; Micrococcales; Microbacteriaceae. The record is from RNAcentral.
UGCAAGUCGAACGAUGAAGCCCAGCUUGCUGGGUGGAUUAGUGGCGAACGGGUGAGUAACACGUGAGUAACCUGCCCUUGACUCUGGGAUAAGCGCUGGAAACGGCGUCUAAUACCGGAUACGACCUGCCCCGGCAUCGGGUGCGGGUGGAAAGUUUUUCGGUCAAGGAUGGACUCGCGGCCUAUCAGCUUGUUGGUGAGGUAAUGGCUCACCAAGGCGACGACGGGUAGCCGGCCUGAGAGGGUGACCGGCCACACUGGGACUGAGACACGGCCCAGACUCCUACGGGAGGCAGCAGUGGGGAAUAUUGCACAAUGGGCGAAAGCCUGAUGCAGCAACGCCGCGUGGGGGAUGACGGCCUUCGGGUUGUAAACCUCUUUUAGUAGGGAAGAAGGACUUCGGUUUGACGGUACCUGCAGAAAAAGCACCGGCUAACUACGUGCCAGCAGCCGCGGUAAUACGUAGGGUGCAAGCGUUGUCCGGAAUUAUUGGGCGUAAAGAGCUCGUAGGCGGUUUGUCGCGUCUGCUGUGAAAACCCGAGGCUCAACCUCGGGCCUGCAGUGGGUACGGGCAGACUAGAGUGCGGUAGGGGAGAAUGGAAUUCCUGGUGUAGCGGUGGAAUGCGCAGAUAUCAGGAGGAACACCGAUGGCGAAGGCAGUUCUCUGGGCCGUUACUGACGCUGAGGAGCGAAAGCGUGGGGAGCGAACAGGAUUAGAUACCCUGGUAGUCCACGCCGUAAACGUUGGGAACUAGAUGUGGGGACCUUUCCACGGUCUCCGUGUCGCAGCUAACGCAUUAAGUUCCCCGCCUGGGGAGUACGGCCGCAAGGCUAAAACUCAAAGGAAUUGACGGGGGCCCGCACAAGCGGCGGAGCAUGCGGAUUAAUUCGAUGCAACGCGAAGAACCUUACCAAGGCUUGACAUAUACCGGAAACUUCCAGAAAUGGUUGCCCCGCAAGGUCGGUAUACAGGUGGUGCAUGGUUGUCGUCAGCUCGUGUCGUGAGAUGUUGGGUUAAGUCCCGCAACGAGCGCAACCCUCGUUCUAUGUUGCCAGCACGUCAUGGUGGGAACUCAUAGGAGACUGCCGGGGUCAACUCGGAAGAAGGUGGGGAUGACGUCAAAUCAUCAUGCCCCUUAUGUCUUGGGCUUCACGCAUGCUACAAUGGCCGGUACAAAGGGCUGCGAUACCGUAAGGUGGAGCGAAUCCCAAAAAGCCGGUCUCAGUUCGGAUUGAGGUCUGCAACUCGACCUCAUGAAGUCGGAGUC